ACAUGAAUGACUCAGCGCAGUAUGAAGUCUUUGUUUUCUUCCGAAAACAAGCUCAAUGAGAGCCAUCGGGGGUAGAUCUAUCUCAUGACGAGUGGUGGAAUACUUUGACUCAUGAGAGAGAAGCUGAGGCGAAGGCGUCUACCUAGAGGGUUUCUGUCGAUCAAGGGCGAGAGUAGGAGUAUCCAACAGGAUUAGAGACCCUGGUAGUUCCUACCUUAAACGAUGCCGACAGGAGUUUGUCAUUUGUUAAUGGCAGAAUCUUUGGAGAAAUCAUAGUUCUUGGGCUCUGGGGGAACUACGACCGCAAGGCUGAAACUUGAAGGAAUUGACGGAAGGGCACACCAGGGGUGGAGCCUGUGGCUUAAUUUGAAUCAACACGGGGAAACUUACCAGGACCAGAUGUUUUUUAUGACUGACAGGCUUCGGGUCUUUCAGGAUAUUGUUUUUGGUGGUGCAUGGCCGUUGGUGGUGCGUGGGUUGACCUGUCUAGCGUUGAUUCAGCUAACGAGCGAGAUUAUCGCCAAUUAUUUACUUUGCCGAAGUCCUUCGGUUAAAGUUCUAAUUGGGACUCCCUGCGAUUUUAGCAGGUGGAAGAGGGUAGCAAUAACAGGUCCGUGAUGCCCUUUAGAUGCUCUGGGCUGCACGCGUGCUACAAUGUUAGGAUCAAUAGGACUGCGAGCCUGAGAGGGUGCGCUACUCUUAUAAUCCCUAACGUAGUUGGGAUUGACGUUUGUAAUCAGCGUCAUGAACCAGGAAUCCCUUGUAAAUGUGUGUCAACAACGCACGUUGAAUACGUCCCUGCCCUUUGUACACACCGCCCGUCGCUCCUACCGAUUGGAUGACUCGGUGAAAUCACCGGAUGCUUACGAGCAGAAAGUGAUUAAAUCACGUUAUCUAGAGGAAGGAGAAGUCGUAACAAGGUAACGGUAGGUGAACCUGCCGUUGGAUCAGUU
This 953-nucleotide non-coding RNA is filed under the name Trichomonas vaginalis G3. RNAcentral describes it as "Eukaryotic small subunit ribosomal RNA". It matches the Rfam family "Eukaryotic small subunit ribosomal RNA", at positions 793 to 1831 of the family's 1831-position model. Lineage: Eukaryota; Parabasalia; Trichomonadida; Trichomonadidae. The record is from Rfam by way of RNAcentral.